GGGGAUAACACUUGGAAACAGGUGCUAAUACCGCAUAACCAUAGUUACCGCAUGGUAACUAUGUAAAAGGUGGCUAUGCUACCGCUUUUGGAUGGGCCCGCGGCGCAUUAGCUAGUUGGUGGGGCAAAGGCUUACCAAGGCAAUGAUGCGUAGCCGAACUGAGAGGUUGAUCGGCCACAUUGGGACUGAGACACGGCCCAAACUCCCACGGGAGGCAGCAGUAGGGAAUCUUCCACAAUGGGCGAAAGCCUGAUGGAGCAACGCCGCGUGGGUGAAGAAGGUCUUCGGAUCGUAAAACCCUGUUGUUAGAGAAGAAAGUGCGUGAGAGUAACUGUUCACGUUUCGACGGUAUCUAACCAGAAAGCCACGGCUAACUACGUGCCAGCAGCCGCGGUAAUACGUAGGUGGCAAGCGUUAUCCGGAUUUAUUGGGCGUAAAGGGAACGCAGGCGGUCUUUUAAGUCUGAUGUGAAAGCCUUCGGCUUAACCGGAGUAGUGCAUUGGAAACUGGGAGACUUGAGUGCAGAAGAGGAGAGUGGAACUCCAUGUGUAGCGGUGAAAUGCGUAGAUAUAUGGAAGAACACCAGUGGCGAAAGCGGCUCUCUGGUCUGUAACUGACGCUGAGGUUCGAAAGCGUGGGUAGCAAACAGGAUUAGAUACCCUGGUAGUCCACGCCGUAAACGAUGAA
This 687-nucleotide ribosomal RNA is filed under the name uncultured bacterium. Its description in RNAcentral is "bacterial SSU rRNA". It matches the Rfam family "Bacterial small subunit ribosomal RNA", at positions 139 to 813 of the family's 1533-position model. The record is from RNAcentral.